RNAcentral lists this ribosomal RNA (118 nucleotides) under Platysiphonia delicata. The record is from RNAcentral. Lineage: Eukaryota; Rhodophyta; Florideophyceae; Ceramiales; Delesseriaceae.
CCUUGAUACUCAUAGCGCAGUGGACCCACUCCAAACCAUUCCGAACUUGGCAGUUAAACGCUGUUGCGACGACGAUACUUGAGAGGACACUUUCUGGGAAAAUAGUUAAAUAUCAAGG